This 72-nucleotide transfer RNA is filed under the name Ovis aries (sheep). It matches the Rfam family "tRNA". From Rfam's summary of the family: Transfer RNA (tRNA) molecules are approximately 80 nucleotides in length. Their secondary structure includes four short double-helical elements and three loops (D, anti-codon, and T loops). Further hydrogen bonds mediate the characteristic L-shaped molecular structure. tRNAs have two regions of fundamental functional importance: the anti-codon, which is responsible for specific mRNA codon recognition, and the 3' end, to which the tRNAs corresponding amino acid is attached (by aminoacyl-tRNA synthetases). tRNAs cope with the degeneracy of the genetic code in two manners: having more than one tRNA (with a specific anti-codon) for a particular amino acid; and 'wobble' base-pairing, i.e. permitting non-standard base-pairing at the 3rd anti-codon position. The record is from Rfam by way of RNAcentral. Lineage: Eukaryota; Metazoa; Chordata; Mammalia; Artiodactyla; Bovidae.
UCCUCUGUGGCUCAGCUGGUAAAGAAUCUGCCUGCAAUGCAGGAGACCUGGGUUCAAAUCCUGGGAUGGGAA